AAGAGUUAGGGUCUUCAGGCCCGACCUCCAACCCAAUGUCUACCUUACCAUGUUGCUUUGGCGGGCCCGUCGUUCGUUCGAUCGCCUCCGGGCCAGUGCCCGCCAGAAGCCCAAUCAAAUUCUUCUGAAAAACUGCCGUCUUAGUAUAUAAGCAAUAAAUUA
Molecule: unclassified non-coding RNA, 162 nt
Filed under: uncultured Ascomycota
Lineage: Eukaryota; Fungi; Ascomycota
Description: sequence contains ITS1
Source: RNAcentral